This 968-nucleotide ribosomal RNA is filed under the name uncultured marine bacterium. RNAcentral describes it as "bacterial SSU rRNA". It matches the Rfam family "Bacterial small subunit ribosomal RNA", at positions 61 to 1037 of the family's 1533-position model. The record is from RNAcentral.
GUCGAGCGAAGCUUUUCAGUAGUUUACUACAGAAAAUGACUGAGCGGCGAACGGGUGAGUAACGCGUGAGCAAUCUACCUUAGUUACAGGGAUAGCCCGAGGAAACUCGGAUUAAUACCUGAUAUUCUUCAAAUUUCGCAUGAAAUUAAAAGGAAAGGUCAGCCGAACUAAGAUGAGCUCGCGUUCUAUCAGCUAGUUGGUGAGGUAAAAGCUCACCAAGGCAACGACGGAUAGCUGGUCUGAGAGGACGAUCAGCCACACUGGGACUGAGACACGGCCCAGACUCCUACGGGAGGCUGCAGCAGGGAAUAUUGCGCAAUGAGCGAAAGCUUGACGCAGCGACACCGCGUGUGGGAUGACGGAUCUAGGUUUGUAAACCACUUUCAGGAGGGAAGAAAAUGACGGUACCUCCACAAGAAGCCCCGGCCAACUACGUGCCAGCAGCCGCGGUAAUACGUAGGGGGCGAGCGUUGUCCGGAUUUAUUGGGCGUAAAGAGCUCGUAGGCGGUUCAACAAGUCGGUCGUAAAAGUUCAGGGCUCAACCCUGAAAUGUCGAUCGAUACUGUUGUGACUAGGAUACGGUAGAGGUGAGUGGAAUUCCGAGUGUAGCGGUGAAAUGCGUAGAUAUUCGGAGGAACACCAAUUGCGAAGGCAGCUCACUGGGCCGCUAUCGACGCUGAGGAGCGAAAGCUAGGGGAGCAAACAGGAUUAGAUACCCUGGUAGUCCUAGCUGUAAACGAUGGAUACUAGACGUAGGAACUGGAUUGACGGUUUCUGUGUCGUAGCUAACGCGUUAAGUAUCCCGCCUGGGGAGUACGGUCGCAAGACUAAAACUCAAAGGAAUUGACGGGACCCCGCACAAGCGGCGGAGCAUGCGGCUUAAUUCGAUGAUACCCGUAGAACCUUACCUGGACUUGACAUAUAGGGUCAAGCUAUAGAGAUAUAGUGUGCAUUAGCGCCCUAUACAG